GACGAACGCUGGCGGCGUGCUUAACACAUGCAAGUCGAACGGAAAGGCCCUGCUUUUGUUGGGUGCUCGAGUGGCGAACGGGUGAGUAACACGUGAGUAACCUGCCCUUGACUUUGGGAUAACUUCAGGAAACUGGGGCUAAUAUCGGAUAGGAGAUCCUGCUGCAUGGUGGGGGUUGGAAAGUUUCGGCGGUUGGGGAUGGACUCGCGGCUUAUCAGCUUGUUGGUGGGGUAGUGGCUUACCAAGGCUGUGACGGGUAGCCGGCAUGAGAGGGUGACCGGCCACAUUGGGACUGAGAUACGGAGCAGACGCCUACGGGAGGCAGCAGUGGGGAAUAUUGCACAAUGGGCGGAAGCCUGAUGCAGAAACGCCGCGUGCGGGAUGACGGCCUUCGGGGGGUAAACCGCUGUCGCCUGUGACGAAGCGUGAGUGACGGUAAUGGGUAAAGAAGCACCGGCUAACUACGUG
Molecule: ribosomal RNA, 468 nt
Filed under: uncultured bacterium
Lineage: Bacteria
Description: partial 16S ribosomal RNA
Rfam family: Bacterial small subunit ribosomal RNA
Source: RNAcentral